This 253-nucleotide ribosomal RNA is filed under the name uncultured bacterium. Its description in RNAcentral is "partial 16S ribosomal RNA". It matches the Rfam family "Bacterial small subunit ribosomal RNA", at positions 524 to 776 of the family's 1533-position model. The record is from RNAcentral.
UACGAAGGGGGCUAGCGUUGUUCGGAAUUACUGGGCGUAAAGCGCACGUAGGCGGAUUUGUAAGUCAGGGGUGAAAUCCCGGGGCUCAACCUCGGAACUGCCUUUGAUACUGCAAGUCUUGAGUCCGGAAGAGGUGAGUGGAAUUCCUAGUGUAGAGGUGAAAUUCGUAGAUAUUAGGAAGAACACCAGUGGCGAAGGCGGCUCACUGGUCCGGUACUGACGCUAAGGUGCGAAAGCGUGGGGAGCAAACAGG